AUUGAACGCUGGCGGCAUGCUUUACACAUGCAAGUCGAACGGUAACAGGCCGCAAGGUGCUGACGAGUGGCGAACGGGUGAGUAAUGCAUCGGAACGUGCCCAGUCGUGGGGGAUAACUAUCCGAAAGGAUAGCUAAUACCGCAUACGAUCUGCGGAUGAAAGCGGGGGACCUUCGGGCCUCGCGCGAUUGGAGCGGCCGAUGUCAGAUUAGGUAGUUGGUGGGGUAAAGGCUCACCAAGCCAACGAUCUGUAGCUGGUCUGGGAGGACGACCAGCCACACUGGGCCGGAGAAACGGCCAAGACUCCUACGGGAGGCAGCAGUGGGGAAUUUUGGAAAAUGGGCGCAAGCCUGAUCCAGCAAUGCCGCGUGCAGGAAGAAGGCCUUCGGGUUGUAAACUGCUUUUGUACGGAACGAAACGGCUCUGGUUAAUACCUGGGGCUAAUGACGGUACCGUAAGAAUAAGCACCGGCUAACUACGUGCCAGCCGCCGCGGUAA
This 498-nucleotide ribosomal RNA is filed under the name uncultured bacterium. RNAcentral describes it as "partial 16S ribosomal RNA". It matches the Rfam family "Bacterial small subunit ribosomal RNA", at positions 30 to 523 of the family's 1533-position model. The record is from RNAcentral.